Molecule: ribosomal RNA, 497 nt
Filed under: uncultured bacterium
Lineage: Bacteria
Description: partial 16S ribosomal RNA
Rfam family: Bacterial small subunit ribosomal RNA
Source: RNAcentral
GAUGAACGCUGGCGGCGUGCCUAAUACAUGCAAGUAGAGCGCAGGGGCGAGGAGCUUGCUCCUCUGAGGUUAGCGGCGGACGGGUGAGUAACACGUGGAUAACCUACCUAUUAGAGGGGGAUAACUACGGGAAACGAGAGCUAAUACCGCAUAAUAUUUUGAACCGCAUGGUUCAUAAGUGAAAGACGGUAUUGCUGUACCAUAUAGAGGAAUCGGGGUUGCUUUGGCAGGUGGGUAGGGAAAGGCCCUACUAAGCGAAGGUAGCUUAGCCGACCUGAGAGGUGGAUCGCCCACCCUGGAACUGGGCCACGCUCCAGACUCCUCCGGGAGGCGGCAGUAGGGAAUCUUCCGCAUUGGGCGAAAGCCUGACGGGGCAACGCCGCUUGAUGGAUGAGGUUCUUCGGUUCGUAAAACUCUUUUAUUGGCGAGGACCAGAUGUGUAGUUAACUGUUCACAUCUUGACGGUACCUAAUCAGAAAGCCACGGCUAACUACGUG